GUAAAUGUUUAUCAUUUUGGGUGCAGGCACCACCACAAUGGGCGGUGGGAGGCACGAAUUGGGCGGGUGCUGGGGAACAAGUACCUAUACCUGGGAACCUUUGAUACCCAAGAGGAAGCAGCCAGGGCCUAUGAUCUUGCGGCCAUCGAAUACCGAGGCGCUAACGCCGUAACCAACUUCGACAUUAGCCGCUACCUGGACCAGCCGCAGUUACUGGCACAAAUGGAGCAGGGGCCACAGGUGGUGCCAGCAUUGCAAGAGGAACUUCAACAUGAUCAACAAAGUGACAACGCAGUCCAAGAGCUCAACUCGGGUGAAGCGCAGAAGCCGGGUAGCGUCAACGAGCCGAUUGCAGUGGAUGACACAGACAGCGCCGGAGACAUCGGUGCCCCCCUUGUGUUUGACAGCGGCGUCGAGGAGAACCUGUGGAGCCCUUGCAUGGAUUAUGAUUUGGACCCCAUCUUUGGACGCGACAUCAGCAACUCGAUGAAUCUGAGCGAGUUCUUCAACGACCCCACCUUCGAGAGCAACAUCGGGUACCUGUUCGAAGGAUGUCCCGACAUCGAUGACUGCAGCACCAGGCAUGGCGCAGGCCUGGCGGCGCUCGGUUUUCUCAAGGAAGGUGACGAUAAUAUGAAGGAUGUUCCAGACAUGGAUGCAGAAAUAACUCCUCAAGCAAACGACGUCUCCUGCCCUCCAAAAAUGAUCACCGUGUGUAAUUGA
Molecule: ribosomal RNA, 723 nt
Filed under: Triticum aestivum (bread wheat)
Lineage: Eukaryota; Viridiplantae; Streptophyta; Magnoliopsida; Poales; Poaceae
Description: partial small subunit ribosomal RNA
Source: RNAcentral